Molecule: ribosomal RNA, 184 nt
Filed under: uncultured bacterium
Lineage: Bacteria
Description: partial 16S ribosomal RNA
Rfam family: Bacterial small subunit ribosomal RNA
Source: RNAcentral
AUAUGAAGUCGGAAUUGNUAGUAAUCGCGGAUCAGCAUGCCGCGGUGAAUACGUUCCCGGGCCUUGUACACACCGCCCGUCACACCAUGAGAGUCGAUAACACCCGAAGCCUGUAGUCUAACAGCAAUGAGGACGCAGUCGAAGGUGGGAUUGAUAAGUUAGGGUGAAGUCGUAACAAGGUAUC